RNAcentral lists this ribosomal RNA (795 nucleotides) under uncultured bacterium. Its description in RNAcentral is "bacterial SSU rRNA". It matches the Rfam family "Bacterial small subunit ribosomal RNA", at positions 8 to 796 of the family's 1533-position model. The record is from RNAcentral.
AGAGUUUGAUCAUGGCUCAGAGUGAACGCUGGCGGCAUGCCUAACACAUGCAAGUCGAACGGUAACAGGCCCGCAAGGGUGCUGACGAGUGGCGGACGGGUGAGGAAUACAUCGGAAUUUGCCCAGUCGUGGGGGAUAACGUAGGGAAACUUACGCUAAUACCGCAUACGACCGAGAGGUGAAAGCGGGGGAUCAGCAAUGACCUCGCGCGAGCGGAUGAGCCGAUGUCGGAUUAGCUAGUUGGUAGGGUAAAGGCCUACCAAGGCGACGAUCCGUAGCUGGUCUGAGAGGAUGAUCAGCCACACUGGGACUGAGACACGGCCCAGACUCCUACGGGAGGCAGCAGUGGGGAAUAUUGGACAAUGGGGGCAACCCUGAUCCAGCAAUGCCGCGUGUGUGAAGAAGGCCUUCGGGUUGUAAAGCACUUUUAUCCGGAACGAAACGCGCUUGGUGAAUAGCCAGGUGAACUGACGGUACCGGAGGAAUAAGCACCGGCUAACUUCGUGCCAGCAGCCGCGGUAAUACGAAGGGUGCAAGCGUUACUCGGAAUUACUGGGCGUAAAGCGUGCGUAGGUGGUUUGUUAAGUCCGUUGUGAAAGCCCUGGGCUCAACCUGGGAAUGGCAGUGGAUACUGGCGAGCUAGAGUGCGGUAGAGGGUAGUGGAAUUCCCGGUGUAGCAGUGAAAUGCGUAGAGAUCGGGAGGAACACCAGUGGCGAAGGCGGCUACCUGGACCAGCACUGACACUGAGGCACGAAAGCGUGGGGAGCAAACAGGAUUAGAUACCCUAGUAGUCC